This 271-nucleotide unclassified non-coding RNA is filed under the name uncultured fungus. RNAcentral describes it as "partial contains small subunit ribosomal RNA, internal transcribed spacer 1, and 5.8S ribosomal RNA". The stretch from base 1 to 73 matches the Rfam family "Eukaryotic small subunit ribosomal RNA", at positions 1759 to 1831 of the family's 1831-position model. The record is from RNAcentral. Lineage: Eukaryota; Fungi.
UCAAACUUGGUCAUUUAGAGGAAGUAAAAGUCGUAACAAGGUCUCCGUUGGUGAACCAGCGGAGGGAUCAUUACAGAGUUAUCGCAACUCCCAAACCCAUGUGAACAUACCCCGCGUUGCCUCGGCAGGUGGCGCCCUACCCUGUAGGCGACCCUGCCGACGGCCCACGAAACUCCUGUUUCUAGAGCAUUGGACUUCUGACGAGAUAACUAAAUACGUUAAAACUUUCAACAACGGAUCUCUUGGUUCUGGCAUCGAUGAAGAACGCAGC